This is a non-coding RNA of Aspergillus bertholletiae, 74 nucleotides long. NCBI's taxonomy places the organism in Eukaryota, Fungi, Ascomycota, Eurotiomycetes, Eurotiales, Aspergillaceae. The record is from the annotation of a GenBank genome assembly.
GCGGGUGUAGUGUAGUGGUUUAUCACGUGCGCUUCCCAAGCGUAAGGUCCGGGGUUCGAACCCCCGUUCCCGCA